AUGUUAAUUGGUUGUUAAAUGAAUUAUUUGUCCUGCUCACUGUGURUAUAAAGAGCUGCAGUAUUUUGACUGUACAAAGGUAGCAUAAUUAUUAGUCUUUUAAUUGAGGACUAGGAUGAAAGGUUAGACGAGAGAYUACUAUCUAAUGCUUAAUAAUUAAAGCUUUCUUUUUUGUUAAAAGACAAAAAUGGAGCUAAAAGACAAAAAGACCCUAUAAAACUUCAUUAAAAUAAGGAUUAUCUUUAAAAUUAUAUGAARGAGAUUUUURUUCAAUUUUAUUGGGGCGAUAAAUAUAAAUCUAUAUUAAGAAAAACAAUUUAUAAUUGAAUGAAUGUAAGAACCUGCUUGAAGGCUAAUAGAAAAAGUUACUUUAGGGAUAACAGCGUAAUGAUUUUAUAGAGUUCUUAUCGACAAAAUUGUUUGCGA
RNAcentral lists this ribosomal RNA (426 nucleotides) under Paectophyllum escherichii. Its description in RNAcentral is "partial small subunit ribosomal RNA". Lineage: Eukaryota; Metazoa; Arthropoda; Diplopoda; Julida; Julidae. The record is from RNAcentral.